UNCGCACACUGGCUGCCAGCGAUGUUAC
RNAcentral lists this non-coding RNA (28 nucleotides) under Mus musculus (house mouse). The record is from RNAcentral. Lineage: Eukaryota; Metazoa; Chordata; Mammalia; Rodentia; Muridae.